Molecule: long non-coding RNA, 763 nt
Organism: Sorghum bicolor (sorghum)
Lineage: Eukaryota; Viridiplantae; Streptophyta; Magnoliopsida; Poales; Poaceae
Exons: 2
Source: RefSeq, a predicted model, not a curated record
CACCACGAAUCGAUUUCACCGCUCUAGUCUUCACCUCGGAGUCCAUGGAUGCCAUUCAUUUCCAUGAUCGUCCCCGAGGAAAAUUAUUGCUGCCACGUUGACCCGUUGUCCUUGCAGUGAUGUUGUCAUCACUGGCUGCUGCUGGGUUCUCACCAACAGCAAGGUCGCCCCUCCCUCUCCCAUCUCUGAUCACGCUACCUAUGACCCUCUCAUCCAUCUCCUUGAUCCCUGGUUUGCUACAGAUUCUCUCCAAGAUCGAAUCAUCGAUGUCAUCUUUGUGAACGUGCUGGUGGCAUCGAUCCUAGUGGCCAUGUUGAUGGUACCGUUGGCCCUUGCCAAAUAGUAAGGUCAUCCCUCUGAUUUCCCUCUCUAGUCUUGUUGUCCGUACCUCUCUCAUAUGUCUCCUUGAUUUGUAAUGAGGCAUGGAUGAUCCCCAACGUGCUUUCGGUACUGUUCUGUUGAUCACCAACAACAUCUUUUCGAUGCCAGCUGCUGCCAACCACAUCAUCAAUUGUUAAAAUUCCUUGAUGUAAGAACCUUGUAAUAUCCUACAUGAUGUUUUCAUGUUCAUGUAGCAAACCAUGUACUCAUAUUUAUUUUUGAUCGAAUUUCUACAAAGUUCUCCCCGCAAUCGUGUUGUUGUCCUUUUCGGACAGCGGUGCUAUUGUCAGUCAGCCUUCAUGUUCUCCAACGAUCCAACAUGGUCUAUGAUGAAUCCGUUGACUAUAACAUCACUUAUAUAUUUACACACAUCUCUGCAAAA